UUAGUCGAUAUUGGCCUCAUUUGGUAACUUUUCGUCUGCUCAAGCGUGCGCCUGCGCCGUCGCCGUCGCCUCCGCCUUGGCGCCGCCGUUAUAUCCUCACCUGUUCUAUGCCAAUCUCCGCUGGCCUCUGCAAGGUAACGCCAUUACUCGGAGCAUUCCUAGGAGUUUCGAAUCUGAUAGAUGUUUGGAUUUGGGAGAGCUGCUCAUCUUGUAGUUUUUGUUGAAAUGCUUGAGCCGAGGUUCUUUUCCUGCAGCUAUACAAAACCCUAAGGCUAACAAAAAGUUACGAACAGAGGAAGAAGAGAAUGCGAAAACAGGAAUGAUCUUAGCACUGAGGAAUUGUAACCUUUUAAUGCUUACCUGUGGUUCUCCAACCCAGCGAAAGGGUAUGGAGGUGAGACCCAGCAUCUGAGCAUGGACGCUCUCAUGCCACCAGUCGCUUAAGAGGAGACUGAGCUCCCCAUCGUAGUGGAAGGGCUCUUCCUCACCAUCUGCCUUGUCCACUAUGAGAGAACCAUAGAGCCCUGCUGCUCUCUGCAUGCCGUAAUGCCCGUGGUAGAAAGCAACGGUAAAGACUGCAAGAUAAGAGUGGAGAUUUGCUUAGACUUGAUGUAUGACCACAUAAGCAUACCUGUUUGAUACCAUGCCAAUGGAUGACAACACCUUCGGUGGGCAGACUAUUCUUGAGCUCGACAACAAUGGUGUCACCGGCCUUUGCACGAAUAGUCGGACCUGGAAACCUCCCAUUGAUCCCGAUCAUCAUCCUCUCCUCGCAGUCAGGUUAGCAACCAAGGUGCAGCCAAUGAACAGGUAUAAAAGAAGCCUCUUCUCCAUACUUAAGCUUUAACUUAACACUUAUCUAGCUUAAGAGCAUUGGACAAAGAAGAGUUGGGAGAUAGGAAAAAAGAUGGAAGGUUAGUGGAGUAUUUAUAGUACAGAAAUGAUCUUUGAAAGUAGAUUUCUUCAGAAAAGCAAGUUUUUUUUUCUUUUGCAUUUAUUUUCCUUCUGCUCAACUUUUGUGCAUAGGUGGCUCUAUGUUUUUGAUGCUUGUAUAUAUUCUUCUUUUUCACCCCAUUGCAGCUACCUAACGGGCGAAAAGAAAAAAUGUUUGUUUGAGUCGUCUAUUCACAAAAUGACCCUUUCCAUCUUGAAUCCAAUGGACCCAGUGAAAUAUAAUAGAAGGAAAUACUAAGGCAUAACCAACCACAAAAGUUCCAUCAAUAUAGAAUCUCAAAAGGAAUUACUGUACCAAUAUAGAAUCUGAAAAGGAUUUCAUCUAUACCCAACCCCUGCAUUUCAAAGGUGUUUAUAGUCAAUCCCAAGAACCCAAGCCUCAACAGAGGCUUCCCUUCUUGUAGAAGCACAAUAUACCAAAACCAAAUAUUUUUAUUUUAUAUUUCUGGGACCUGACAACGACAUUGUUGCUUAGAAAGAUAGAGGUAGAAAGAAUAUUUUUUAUUAAAUUUAAAUAAGAAUUUGGCUCUUAAUAAUAGAACAUAAUGAAGGAAAAAGAUUUAUGUAACUGACCUCACCUAGUAAGACUUGAUGUUAUUGUUGUAUAUUUCUCUUUUAUUGCUCCGCCUUGUUUUUUAUUUUGUAUUUUUCUACAUAGGUAAAGGCAGACCUAAAAAGAUUUUGUUAGAAAAUAUUAGAAAUGAUCUUUUUUAUUAGAUUUAAAUGAGAAUUUAACUUUUAACAGGACACAACAGAGAAAAACGAUUCAUAUAUUCUGUGUUCUUGGUUACUUGUCAGGCAUCGCCAGUAGCAAAAAUUAUUGUGUCCAGACAGGGUAUCGAGCUAUACAGACCGUCUAAUGAUGUGACGCAUUUUUAUUGAUCUCUGGAUACGUUCGGUGUCCGGACACAAUAAUUACUCCUCCAGUAGGAGCCAACUACAAAGCUUUUCGGUAGUUUUGCAGUGCAAUUAUUCUGAAAUUGUCGUUAGAGAAGAGCCAGAACUGGAAGUCUAAGCCUCUAAAUGCCAUUUAUUCCUAUUAGACUCAGUUGUUGAGACAUCUUUGUUUUAGGAGAAUGGACGGCAGAGUUGUUGAGACUUUGAACCUAGCUAGCUUUCUCUUUAGUGGGGGUUGUUGGAAUAUGACAAAAACUGCUUUGAUUAGGUCAAAAAUAGGUCGUCUCCUGUGCAGUAUUAUAUUGAUCAGAUUUUAGUUAUGGAUUUGUUGAAGAGGAUAAUGGUGCUUGUAAAGCUCCUGAAUUUGUUGAUGGUUGGUGGCUGAUCUUGUUGCUUUAAGUAGUUGGUGUAUAAUUUUCCUUGAGAGCUUUAGAGAAAUAAUUGAGUCCACUUUUUUUUUUUUUUUUUUUUUUGUUUGAAUAAACCAUGAAUGAUAGUUAUAAUUCAAGGAUCAAUUUGUAAAUCCAUCAAAGUUUAGAGAUAA
This is a long non-coding RNA of Dendrobium catenatum, 2395 nucleotides long. RefSeq lists it as uncharacterized. The transcript has 5 exons. The record is from RefSeq and is a predicted model, not a curated record. Lineage: Eukaryota; Viridiplantae; Streptophyta; Magnoliopsida; Asparagales; Orchidaceae.